This 681-nucleotide long non-coding RNA is filed under the name Equus caballus (horse). RNAcentral's name for it is "lncRNA (ENSECAG00000058945.1)". Lineage: Eukaryota; Metazoa; Chordata; Mammalia; Perissodactyla; Equidae. The record is from RNAcentral.
CAACCCUGCUAUAUGGUGAUGAAUUUUCAUGGGGUGGAAAACAACUCUAUGCUAUAUGCUGAGAGGACAGCAAAGAACGAAGCCCCAGACGGAACAGGGUCUCCUGAGGGAUGGACAGCGUUGGUGAAGGAGGAGGCAGUGAGACAAGGAGUUCGGUGUCCAAGUCCAAGUCCAAGUCUAACUUUAUUUUGUAGUGUCUGGAUCUGUUUGAUUAAAGGGUUCCUGAGAUUUCAGCUGCCUAUCUGCAUGAUCUGAGAUGCCGAUGCUGAUAAAAGGGCAACUUUCAACCAUAGCUCACAGUUUUAAAUUCUUAUUUUCAUCAAAAGGGUAUUUCCCACUGAUUGGCUAUUAAAUAAAGAUUCAAAAUUAGAAUGUACAAUUUUUGUAUCAAUAAAACAUUGCUUUUGUCUGCUUUAUAUGUUAGGAUGCUGCCCAUGUACCACCUAUGAUUCCACAGACGACAUUGCAAACAUCACUGCCUAGAGUUGUACACAACUGUAUGUGGCAGCUCUGGUUCUGCCUAAGAUUUCAUUUAGGAGAAGUGUGGAGGGGGAGAUGUCUUAUUUAGGGUAAAACACAUUUGAGCCCCCCACUAAGUGAGACACAGAUAGUUACUCUAUACAAGCUGCUUGAUGCUAAUGAAGGUGGCUGAAUCCCAAUUCUCCCUCUGAGAGCUGACAG